AUUUUUAACUGGGGUUCUUUUUAACCACAUUUCAAAAGGAGUCACUCCAAUAGGUUUGCAUGGCGUUCUGUUGUUGAGAUAUACAGCUGUAUUGACAGCUUUUUCCCAAUAGGUGUCAGGUAGUCCAGUCUGCAUUAAUAAACAAUAUGCAGUUUCAAGUAUUGUGUGAUUAAAGCAUUCUGCUAGACCAUUUUGAGGAGACCUGGCUUCCUCCAUUGCUGUUUAAACCUUCAUCAGACAGCACCAUGGUACAUGGAGAUAUAAGAAUUUGUUUCUGUCCACCAAGCUAUAGUGCUGUUUGACUGGGUGUGGUACUGGAUGGAGCGCAAAGAGGAAAACAAGGAACUCCCAUUCCAGAGACAGAAAUGCCUUCUUGUUAGCACAGAUUUACCACAGAAUCCAAUCCAUUGUUGCAUGCUGACUUGUCUUCCACACAAUUGGAGCAUGUCAUUUGGAACAACAACAUGACUCUCAUCUUGAUCUUGUGCCAGAAGAACGUGCUUUGCCUGGUUUUAUAAUAAGGCUAUCCCUCUUCAGCAGUCUGUGAAAAAUCUUCACUCUCUUCUCCUGUGAACAAAACACAUCAAUCUUUUUUGUCAUCACUCUUGCAUCACUCAAAAUGAGAUUGAGAGUGAAGGAGGAUCAUUGCAACUAUCACUGGUAGCCUAGAAAAAGCUCAACUGUACACUGGAAACCUCCAGCAUCUUCCUUACACUUGUCCUUCAAGCACUUGAGUGACAUGUCACCCAUCCAAUGAUUUUCUGAUAUAUCCACACUCAUGUGCCCAAGUCUGUUACUGUUAUAAUUGUGUUGACUAGUCAUACAACAUGCCUGUUUUAUGCAGAAGCGUAAC
This is a long non-coding RNA of Sphaerodactylus townsendi, 853 nucleotides long. RefSeq lists it as uncharacterized. NCBI's taxonomy places the organism in Eukaryota, Metazoa, Chordata, Lepidosauria, Squamata, Sphaerodactylidae. The transcript has 3 exons. The record is from RefSeq and is a predicted model, not a curated record.